This 1438-nucleotide long non-coding RNA is filed under the name Coffea arabica (coffee). RNAcentral's name for it is "long non-coding RNA (CARA_LNC005758)". The record is from RNAcentral. Lineage: Eukaryota; Viridiplantae; Streptophyta; Magnoliopsida; Gentianales; Rubiaceae.
UUUUUUGGACAUUUAUUGUAGAAGGAAUGAAAAGGAAAAUGAGAGAAAAAACUAAUAACUUUUAUUAAGAUGAGUAACAUGGCUCCAUAGAAACCAUAAGGUCUAUAUGUGGGCUCAUGAACCAAUUCAUCAAAGUAUUUGUACUUUACAUUUGGGUCAACGCAAUAAGUAACUUGCCAAAUUUAUCUUUAGACGUGGGACAUAUAACGGGUCCAUAACUCAUUCCGGCCAAAAUUGGCUUGAAAAGGUGUUGAACGACACAAAACAAGCACAUUUUAUAUGCUAGGGAUUAAAAUCGCCGAUUUUUAUUUUGAAGGAUUAAAUUUUUACAACAGUGGUAUGUGAGGGACGAUCAAUUUAAUUUUUCCUUCUUCUUUUGAAUUCAAAUUCACUGGCACCCAAUGCUCACAUUACAAAUAAAUAAAUAAGUACAAUCAUGAAUCACUCCACAAUUAACUAGUGGAUGCUGGGUAUUGGAUUAUGAGAAAGUGGGCCAAUGAAGGUGGUACCAAGAGAUGGUACAGAUAGGGAACGGGUUUCAAUUAUUUUUGGGAUCAUAAUUUAAUAGCAGAGAUUAUUAGAGAUCAUUCAGCAACAUAAUUUUCAUGUCACGGCCAAACACAAACACACGACCUUACGUAGCCAACAUGUGGUGCCAUAGGAAACAUCUACUAAAAAUAUCCAGACUUGACGUUUUCAGAAACUUGUUAUUGGGAUCUCGUGCAAAACGUGAGGUUGUCGUGCAAAACGUGGAGGAUGUCCUGUGGGGUCUCGUGCAAAACGUGAGGUUGUCCUGUGGUACAAAAAUGUUUGCACUAUGAUCAGAUGAAAGAACCACUGGGCUAGUGGCUCAGUGGCCAUCAGGGAGGGACUUAAGUCUCUCCUUGGGCUGUUGAUGAGGGUUCAAACCUCACCAGCAGCGAAAAAAAAUUUAAAAGUUGUGUCAUAGUACUUUCUUGAUUUAGUUGGGUCUGUAUACCCACUAGCUCCUACAAAAAAAAAAAAAUAAUCAGAUGAAAUAAUCUAGGUGGAAGUUCUUUUUUUUUUCCUAAAGGAAACUUACUCUAUGGGAAUCGACUUUAAGAAAGAUAUCCCACUGUGAUCAAUAAAUCUUGUAAUAAUGUACCACGGAUGCUAAAACGCCCUGUAUUACUAUUGAACAAUUGGAGGAAAAGGUCAUAGUCGAAGACGAAGGCAACUAGGAAAAGUGACUUUUUUUUGUAUUUGUAUUUGUGUGUGUGUCUAUACAUACAAAUAUAUAUAUAUAUAUAUAUAUAUAUAUAUAUAUAUAUAUAUAUAUAUAUAUUUGUAAAUAAGAGGUGUUGAAUACAGGGCUUUCUACUUAUAAUAUUUUUCACCUUGCCAUCCAAUCCAACCCUCCCCGACAAAAAAGAAGCGGUUAUGAAAGUGGAGAAGAUGGUUAGUUGUUGACCUAAGU